GAUGAACGCUGGCGGCGUGCCUAAUACAUGCGAGUCGAGCGAACGGACGAGAAUCUUGCUCCUCUGACGUUAGCGGCGGACGGGUGAGUAACACGUGGAUAACCUACCUAUAAGACUGGGAUAACUUCGGGAAACCGGAGCUAAUACCGGAUAAUAUAUUGAACCGCAUGGUUCAAUAGUGAAAGACGGUCUUGCUGUCACUUAUAGAUGGAUCCGCGCUGUAUUAGCUAGUUGGUAAGGAAACGGCUUACCAAGGCAACGAUGGGUAACCGACCUGAGGGGGAGGUCGGCCCCCCUGGAAGUGAGGCAGCGUCCCGGCUCCUUCGGGGGGGCACAGUUGGGAAUCUUACGCGAUGGGGGGAAACCUUGCGGAGCAACGGCGAGUGGGUUAUGAAGGUCCUCCGGUCCGAAAAAUCUGGUUGUCGGGAAGAACCAAUGUGUUAUUAACCGUGGCCAUCUUGACCGUAACCGGUGAAAAAGCCCCGGCUAACUACGUG
Molecule: ribosomal RNA, 497 nt
Filed under: uncultured bacterium
Lineage: Bacteria
Description: partial 16S ribosomal RNA
Rfam family: Bacterial small subunit ribosomal RNA
Source: RNAcentral